Molecule: ribosomal RNA, 492 nt
Filed under: uncultured bacterium
Lineage: Bacteria
Description: partial 16S ribosomal RNA
Rfam family: Bacterial small subunit ribosomal RNA
Source: RNAcentral
AGUGAACGCUGGCGGCAGGCCUAACACAUGCAAGUCGAACGGCAGCACAGUAAGAGCUUGCUCUUACGGGUGGCGAGUGGCGGACGGGUGAGGAAUACAUCGGAAUCUACUUUUUCGUGGGGGAUAACGUAGGGAAACUUACGCUAAUACCGCAUACGACCUACGGGUGAAAGCAGGGGAUCUUCGGACCUUGCGCGAUUGAAUGAGCCGAUGUCGGAUUAGCUAGUUGGCGGGGUAAAGGCCCACCAAGGCGACGAUCCGUAGCUGGUCUGAGAGGAUGAUCAGCCACACUGGAACUGAGACACGGUCCAGGCUCCUACGGGAGGCAGCAGUGGGGAAUAUUGGACAAUGGGCGCAAGCCUGAUCCAGCCAUACCGUGUGGGUGAAGAAGGCCUUCGGGUUGUAAAGCCCUUUUGUUGGGAAAGAAAAGCAGCAGGUUAAUACCCCGCUGUUCUGACGGUACCCAAAGAAUAAGCACCGGCUAACUUCGUG